Molecule: ribosomal RNA, 429 nt
Filed under: Actinomycetes bacterium
Lineage: Bacteria; Bacillati; Actinomycetota; Actinomycetes
Description: Actinobacteria bacterium partial 16S ribosomal RNA
Rfam family: Bacterial small subunit ribosomal RNA
Source: RNAcentral
UAGGGAAUCUUCCGCAAUGGGCGAAAGCCUGACGGAGCAACGCCGCGUGAGUGAUGAAGGUCUUCGGAUCGUAAAACUCUGUUAUUAGGGAAGAACAAAUGUGUAAGUAACUAUGCACGUCUUGACGGUACCUAAUCAGAAAGCCACGGCUAACUACGUGCCAGCAGCCGCGGUAAUACGUAGGUGGCAAGCGUUAUCCGGAAUUAUUGGGCGUAAAGCGCGCGUAGGCGGUUUUUUAAGUCUGAUGUGAAAGCCCACGGCUCAACCGUGGAGGGUCAUUGGAAACUGGAAAACUUGAGUGCAGAAGAGGAAAGUGGAAUUCCAUGUGUAGCGGUGAAAUGCGCAGAGGUAUGGAGGAACACCAGUGGCGAAGGCGACUUUCUGGUCUGUAACUGACGCUGAUGUGCGAAAGCGUGGGGAUCAAACAGG